CUACCCUUGACAUGUCAGGAAGUCCGCUGAGAGGUGGAUGUGCUCGAAAGAGAACCUGAACACAGGUGCUGCAUGGCUGUCGUCAGCUCGUGUCGUGAGAUGUUGGGUUAAGUCCCGCAACGAGCGCAACCCUUGUCAUUAAUUGCCAUCAUUCAGUUGGGCACUUUAAUGAGACUGCCGGUGACAAACCGGAGGAAGGUGGGGAUGACGUCAAGUCCUCAUGGCCCUUAUGGGUAGGGCUUCACACGUCAUACAAUGGUCGGUACAGAGGGUCGCCAACCCGCGAGGGGGAGCCAAUCCCACAAAGCCGAUCGUAGUCCGGAUCGCAGUCUGCAACUCGACUGCGUGAAGUCGGAAUCGCUAGUAAUCGUGGAUCAGCAUGUCACGGUGAAUACGUUCC
This 400-nucleotide ribosomal RNA is filed under the name uncultured bacterium. Its description in RNAcentral is "bacterial SSU rRNA". It matches the Rfam family "Bacterial small subunit ribosomal RNA", at positions 975 to 1374 of the family's 1533-position model. The record is from RNAcentral.